UACGAAGGGGGCUAGCGUUGUUCGGAAUUACUGGGCGUAAAGGGCGCGUAGGCGGUCUUGCAAGUCAGGGGUGAAAUCCCGGAGCUUAACUCCGGAAUUGCUUUUGAUACUGUGAGGCUAGAGUGAGUUAGAGGAUGGCGGAAUUCCUAGUGUAGUGGUGAAAUACGUAGAUAUUAGGAAGAACACCGGUGGCGAAGGCGGCCAUCUGGGACUCAACUGACGCUGAGGCGCGAAAGCGUGGGGAGCAAACAGG
Molecule: ribosomal RNA, 253 nt
Filed under: uncultured bacterium
Lineage: Bacteria
Description: partial 16S ribosomal RNA
Rfam family: Bacterial small subunit ribosomal RNA
Source: RNAcentral